GAUAAACGCUGGCGGCGUGCCUAACACAUGCAAGUCGAACGCUCUGGUGUAUUUCGGUACAGCAGAGAGUGGCGGACGGGUGAGUAACACGUGGGUGACCUACCUUUCAGUGAGGAAUACCGGCGAGAAAUCGCCGACAAGACCGCAUACGCUUCUUUUCGUCAAGGGGAGAAGGAAAGCUCCGCAGGGGGCGCUGGAAGAUGGGCCUGCGGCCGAUUAGCUAGCUGGUGGGGUAAUGGCUUACCAGGGCGACGAUCGGUAGCUGGUCUGAGAGGAC
Molecule: ribosomal RNA, 277 nt
Filed under: uncultured bacterium
Lineage: Bacteria
Description: partial 16S ribosomal RNA
Rfam family: Bacterial small subunit ribosomal RNA
Source: RNAcentral